RNAcentral lists this ribosomal RNA (913 nucleotides) under uncultured crenarchaeote. RNAcentral describes it as "bacterial SSU rRNA". It matches the Rfam family "Archaeal small subunit ribosomal RNA", at positions 1 to 921 of the family's 1478-position model. Lineage: Archaea; Thermoproteati; Thermoproteota. The record is from RNAcentral.
UUCCGGUUGAUCCNGCCGGACCUGACUGCUAUCGGAUUGAUACUAAGCCAUGCGAGUCAUUGUAGCAAUACAAGGCAGACGGCUCAGUAACGCGUAGUCAACCUACCCUAUGGACGGGAAUAACCUCGGGAAACUGAGUAUAAUGCCCGAUAGAACACUAUACCUGGAAUGGUUUGUGUUUCAAAUGAUUUAUUGCCAUAGGAUGGGACUGCGGCCUAUCAAUUUGUUGGUGAGGUAAUGGCCCACCAAGACUAUUACAGGUACGGGCUCUGGGAGGAGUGGCCCGGAGAUGGGUACUGAGACACGGACCCAGGCCCUAUGGGGCGCAGCAGGCGAGAAAACUUUGCAAUGUGCGAAAGCACGACAAGGUUAAUCCGAGUGGUUUCUGCUAAAGGAACCUUUUGUUAGUCCUAGAAACACUAACGAAUAAGGGGUGGGCAAGUUCUGGUGUCAGCCGCCGCGGUAAAACCAGCACCUCAAGUGGUCAGGAUGAUUAUUGGGCCUAAAGCAUCCGUAGCCGGCUCAGUAAGUUUUCGGUUAAAUCUGUACGCUCAACGUACAGGCCGCCGGGAAUACUGCAGAGCUAGGGAGUGGGAGAGGUAGACGGUACUCGGGAGGAAGUGGUAAAAUGCUUUGAUCUUUCGAUGACCACCUGUGGCGAAGGCGGUCUACCAGAACACGUCCGACGGUGAGGGAUGAAAGCUGGGGGAGCAAACCGGAUUAGAUACCCGGGUAGUCCCAGCUGUAAACUAUGCAAACUCAGUGAUGCAUUGGCUUGUGGCCAAUGCAGUGUUGCAGGGAAGCCGUUAAGUUUGCCGCCUGGGAAGUACGUACGCAAGUAUGAAACUUAAAGGAAUUGGCGGGGGAGCACCACAAGGGGUGAAGCCUGCGGUUCAAUUGGAUUCAACGCCGG